CGGCCCUUAAAGUUGGGAAUCGACCUCUAGUAGUAGCGUACAAAAUAUGCAAAAGGUAAAGAGUCACCGUUAGUGGAAAUUGGAAAGAGAGACUCACUCCUAAACCGUCCCCACCGUCCAGCGAAAGAUCAUGCCACGGCCAGUGGCUGGUCCUGCAAAGACUUCCAAGUUUCAAACUGCAAAGUGCCAGCCACCCAAAGCCCACAAAAAUAAUCCACAGAACCAAUAAGUAGCCCUCCUAACACUGCAUAAUAAUCAAUAAUCUACUAGAGCCUACAAGAAAGGAACCAUUCUUGUAAUAUUUUACACACUAAAAACCAAUUUAUAGUGCAUAAAUCCCAGAUUUCUAUGUAGAAAACCUGUGCUUAAUUGCAUGAGUGUCAAGGGACAAUCCCUGGUUAUCAAGGAUAAUGUUUAUGUUGUUGCUUCUGCUUCUUAAUUAAACUAUAGUAAUAUUGCUUUUCGAGUUUCGUGAAUUCUGUACAUUUUGUCUGUGUGUCUUUUUGAUUCCUUUGAUGAAACCCAACCUUAUUUCAUGGAGGUUCAAAGCACUAGAUUUUGGUAAGUGCUUUUGCAAUCUAUUUUGUCCCCUAGAUAGGUUCUUACUUGCUCUUUUUGUUUGUGUAUAAAAGAAGUUUGUUCGGAAGGAAGUUAUGGCCGUCUGGGUUUGUUUAGUGGGCAUGGAACCUUUGAGAUUGAAAGGAAUCACUGUAGUCACUGAAGUUUUGAUGCGAUAGAUCGAUUGAUCAUACAAGAAAUAGCCCAAGGAAGAGAGAGUUCCUGAUUCGAUUGUAAUAUUGGGAUACAAAUUGAAGCAAUGAAUAGUGGGUUUUAUUCUGGUUGGAAGCAUGGUUCUUUGCUGGAUUUUUUGGAGGAAGACCAACAGCUGAAACCGGUGGUAUCGCUUCCAGCAAUCCCUCAACCACAAACCCCAAAAGAGCCUAUGGAGUUCUUAUCUAGAUCUUGGAGUCUUUCCGCUUCAGAAAUUUCAAAAGCUCUGGCUCAGAAACAGAGACAAUUUUUCACUGACAACCAACCCAGUAUGUUCCCAGCAGAUACAGUUGCAGCACCACAGUUAACAAGGAAGAUAAUAAAUUCGUUAAAUUCAAGAAAGACAGGAGCAAUGGGAAAGUGGUUCCACCACAAGGAGCUUAGCAGCAGCACAGUGAAGAAGAAAGAUAAGGCACGCAUGGAAAAUGCGCGUAUGCAUUCUGCUAUAUCAGUUGCUGGACUAGCUGCAGCCUUGGCUGCUGUGGCAGCCGAAGGAAACUCUAGUGACUCUGGCUCUAAAAUGAGUAUGGCUUUGGCCUCAGCUACAGAACUCUUGGCAUCACAUUGCAUAGAAUUAGCAGAAUCAGCCGGAGCGGAUCAUGAUCGUGUGGCUUCUGUUGUGAGAUCAGCUGUAGACAUUCAGAGUCCAGGUGAUCUAAUGACCCUUACUGCAGCAGCUGCAACAGCUUUGAGGGGAGAAGCAGCACUAAAAGCAAGGUUGCCGAAAGAAGCAAGAAAAAAUGCAUCUAUAAGUCCUUACGAGAGAGGAAUGGCAGAAACUCAUUGGGGUUCUGCUAACAUUGGUGAAGUAGCAGAACAGGCUCCCUGCGUUGGAGAAGUAUUGCAACACACAAGAAAAGGAGUGUUGCGAUGGAAACACAUUUCGGUCUACAUCAACAAGAAAUUACAGGUCAUAAUUAAGAUCAAAAGCAAACACGUUGGAGGAGCCUUCUCCAAGAAGCACAAAUGCGUUGUUUAUGGGGUCUGCGAUGAGACUACAGCAUGGCCAUAUAGAAAAGAAAGGGAAAAUUCUGAAGAAGUAUAUUUUGGCCUUAAAACUGCGCAGGGUCUUCUAGAGUUCAAGUGCAAGAGCAAGAUCCAUAAGCAAAGAUGGGUUGAUCGGAUUCAAAAUCUUCUUCAUCAAGUCAACUGUGUUGAAGAAACUGAACGUUCUCUGGAAUUUCUAAGCUUAAGCAAUAGCGUAUAGCGUGAUUCAUUUUUUUCCAAGACCGGGAAUAGGGACACAUUAACGUUUACUAAGGAUCUAUAAUAUGUCAACACGGUCUACGUAUGAAAAGUUUCUUCCCCUUUACACAUAUAAUAUAAGGAAUUAAACCCAAUAUUUGAUCUUAUGUGUUGUUACUGGAAAAUGGAAUUUGUCCUCUAGCAUCAGAUUGCCAUUUUGGGCUUUUGGAGGAAGCCCCUGGUGCAAAAAUUUAGCAUACCAGAAGAAUAACAAUCAAAUCAUAAUGGACCUCACAGCAAUAGCAUACUGCAUAUUCAUGUGUCGAUUUCAGUUUCAAUCAAAGCAAACUCACCCGCUAGUCAAUUGGUGUGUAAAUACACAUUAUUGUCUAUAAGGCAGUCUGUUAUAUUACAAAUUUCUUUAACACAAAACGAACUGCACAAACCCUUAAUUCAAUUGCUGGGUUUUUAUGCAUUGUAAGAUGAAUGUAUAGUUGCUAUCCG
This 2460-nucleotide unclassified non-coding RNA is filed under the name Hevea brasiliensis (rubber tree). The record is from RNAcentral. Lineage: Eukaryota; Viridiplantae; Streptophyta; Magnoliopsida; Malpighiales; Euphorbiaceae.